This 902-nucleotide ribosomal RNA is filed under the name Falcocladium multivesiculatum. RNAcentral's name for it is "eukaryotic LSU rRNA". It matches the Rfam family "Eukaryotic large subunit ribosomal RNA", at positions 1 to 953 of the family's 3401-position model. Lineage: Eukaryota; Fungi; Ascomycota; Sordariomycetes; Falcocladiales; Falcocladiaceae. The record is from RNAcentral.
GUUGACCUCGAAUUAGGUAGGAAUACCCGCUGAACUUAAGCAUAUCAAUAAGCGGAGGAAAAGAAAGCAACAGCGAUUGCCUCAGUAGCGGCGAGCGAAGCGGCAACAGCCCAGAUUUGAAAUCUGGCCUUCGGGUCCGAAUUGUAAUCUGCAGAGGAUGCUUUAGGCAAGGCACCGGCCAAGUUCCCUGGAAUGGGACGCCUUAGAGGGUGAGAGCCCCGUAGUGCUGGCUGCCACGCCAUUGUAUAGCUCCCUCGAAGAGUCGCGUAGUUUGGGAAUGCUGCGCAAAUAGGGAGGUAUAUCUCUCCUAAGGCUAAAUACCUGCCAGAGACCGAUAGCGCACAAGUAGAGUGAUCGAAAGAUGAAAAGAACUUUGAAAAGAGGGUUAAAUAGUAUGUGAAAUUGCUAAAAGGGAAGCGCUUAUGGCUAGACUUGGUGGUGGUGGAGCAAUCUGCUGCUACUGGGCCGGCACCAGUUUACGUUGGGGGGUAAAGGCGGCGGGAACGUGGCUCCUCCGGGAGUGUUAUAGCCCGCCGUGUAAUACCCUGGUGUAGACUGAGGCUCUCGCUUCGGCAAGGGUGCCGGCAUAAUGGCCAUCAGCGGCCCGUCUUGAAACACGGACCAAGGAGUCGUCUUCGUAUGCGAGUGUUUGGGUGUCAAACCCAAGCGCGUAAUGAAAGUGAACGUUGGUGAGAGCUGCGGCGCAUCAUCGACCGAUCCUGAAGUUUACAGAUGGAUUUGAGUAAGAGCAUACGGGGCCGGACCCGAAAGAAGGUGAACUAUGCGUGUGUAGGGUGAAGCCAGAGGAAACUCUGGUGGAGGCUCGCAGCGGUUCUGACGUGCAAAUCGAUCGUCAAACAUGCGCAUGGGGGCGAAAGACUAAUCGAACCUUCUAGUAGCUG